CCCCCCCCAAAAAACAAAUUCCUAAAUCUAGAUAAGUUUUUACUCUCUAGUUGGGUGCACGGUAAGAGCUGAAGAAUCAUGAGGUUUAUAGCACUUGCUCUAGUCUUGUUGAUGGUGAGCACUUGUAUGGCCACAACUCAGAGAACGUUGAUGGCUGAAGUGCAGCAGCAGCAGCAGCCAGAAAAGGGCCAGAAUGGUGAAGUUGAAGGCCAAGUAAACGAUAUGAAUCACCAUACCAUUCCUAGACAGGACUUUGGAGGCUACAUUGGCGGUGGGGCUGCUAAACCGUAGUGUAACUAGUUCAAUGAUGAUGCUUGCUAUGUACAUAAUAUAUAGGUUAAAUAAUCCUUGAGCUAGACCAAGCAAAAAAGGAAAGAAAAACGUAAAGUCAUGCUAUAGAUGCAUGGCAUAAGUUGUAUGCGGUUUGGGUUUAUAACCUAUAAUUGUUACCUAUUAGUCUGCAUGUUGCAGCGUACGUAUGUUUCUGUGGUAUAAUAAUCAUAGACUAUGUUUGGAGUGUGUG
Molecule: long non-coding RNA, 523 nt
Organism: Quercus robur (English oak)
Lineage: Eukaryota; Viridiplantae; Streptophyta; Magnoliopsida; Fagales; Fagaceae
Exons: 2
Source: RefSeq, a predicted model, not a curated record